Molecule: long non-coding RNA, 718 nt
Organism: Elaeis guineensis (African oil palm)
Lineage: Eukaryota; Viridiplantae; Streptophyta; Magnoliopsida; Arecales; Arecaceae
Source: RefSeq, a predicted model, not a curated record
GAUAUACUUAUAUAUGUAGCUGGACAUGUUUCAUUGGAUGUGGAUGAUGCUGCUUUUAAGGGUCCAUUUAGUGGUGUACAGCAUGAUCAGGUUGAUCCACUAGGAUGCAGGUGGAGGAUUCGAUUGAUUGGUGCUGGCAAUCCGGUGCCGCACGUAGUUAUAUAUUAUAGGGAUCAGUUAGAUCAGCAGCGUGAUUAUCAGAUAUUAUGGGUGCCUUACACACUAGAUAUAUUGGCCACAUUACCCGAGAUAUGCCCAUCAGAUCAGCAUGUAUAGAGGACACGCACACCUCUAUUUGUUUCGACAUCGUAGAGAUUUAUUGUUCGGAGCACUUGAUGCGACAGUUUGGCAUGCACCAGGACGUUCCCCCAUCAUAUGACACUCGAGAUGCUCUCCACCAUUUGGAUCGAUGAGGGUGACAUCUUCAUGAUUGGGUUCAAAAGCAUCGGGAGCAUAUUGAUGCAUGGGAGCGACGAGAGGAUUUGAUUGUUGCUGGUCCACCCAUGCUUCCCAUGAUGGAUUAUUAUAAUCUAUAUCUGCAAUGGUACAGGAGCAUCACCAGACGAUUCAUUUCACCAUUGAUGAGUUAGCGUCCCGAGAUGAGGUUCCGUGCUUCGGAUGGUAUGAUGGAUAUUGGGUUUUAAAGGAUCAUAUCGCUAUAUCAUACGGCAAGGAGUGGAUUCCAUUCGAUCAUUGUUGGAUGUAAGGAUCGAGCACU